AUUGAACGCUGGCGACAUGCCUUACACAUGCAAGUCGAACGGCAGCACGGGUGCUUGCCCCUGGUGGCGAGUGGCGAACGGGUGAGUAAUACAUCGGAACAUGUCCUGUAGUGGGGGAUAGCCCGGCGAAAGCCGGAUUAAUACCGCAUACGAUCUACGGAUGACAGCGGGGGACCUUCGGGCCUCGCGCUAUCGGGUUGGCCGAUGGCUGAUUAGCUAGUUGGUGGGGUAAAGGCCUACCAAGGCGACGAUCAGUAGCUGGUCUGAGAGGACGACCAGCCACACUGGGACUGAGACACGGCCCAGACUCCUACGGGAGGCAGCAGUGGGGAAUUUUGGACAAUGGGCGAAAGCCUGAUCCAGCAAUGCCGCGUGUGUGAAGAAGGCCUUCGGGUUGUAAAGCACUUUUGUCCGGAAAGAAAUCCUUGGCCCUAAUACGGUCGGGGGAUGACGGUACCGGAAGAAUAAGCACCGGCUAACUACGUG
Molecule: ribosomal RNA, 486 nt
Filed under: uncultured bacterium
Lineage: Bacteria
Description: partial 16S ribosomal RNA
Rfam family: Bacterial small subunit ribosomal RNA
Source: RNAcentral